AAUUCCUAUUUAUUCUGGAAUCUUUCAAGAAAGAAAGAGAGGAAAGGCUCCUUUGGGGAGAAGCCACACCCACGUGUCUGGGCACAGUUUUGCAGGAAGAGUCUUUUUUUGCCAACAAUGCCAUCAGCUUGGGGAUUUGGAGCGCUGCCCUCCUCCUUGUUCUGCAUCUCCUCGCUGCUCCCUCAUUUCCACUGCUGAUUACUCUUCUGCCAGCAGUGUGCACUUACAGUCAAGUGCUAACCAUUACGGGAACAUUCUUUCACCUCUCUGCCCUUCUGCUAAUCCACUGGAUUGGUAGGACUCCAGGCCUCUCCAGGCUGCCUCCCCAGCUUGGGUUACGAGGCUAAGAAACAUUAGCGUGAUGGAACUGAAGCCAGGGGUGAAUAGCCAACAGUAGUGCAUUUUCCCAUAGGUGUAAAUGCAUGCGUUCAUUCAUUCACUCACUUACUCCUUCAUUCAUUCAACAAACAGCUAUGAAGCAUCUACUAACUGCCAACCCAUGUGCCAAGGGAUCUAGCAAUGAACAAGAUUCAAAUGUCAAAUAAAAAUGUUCAAAUACCAAUUAAAAUUUUCCCUUGGGGGGUGACAAUAUGUUGUUGGCAAAUCAAGGAUGGACCCUACUGAAGUUGUAAGGUCUCGGUGGGUGGUAGACUCUCACAGUAUCUUACUGUUUCCUGAGGACAGUCAGUCCAUGCCACAUGUUCUGAUUGACUUAUUUCGACUCCACUGAGCUGCCCCCUUCAGUUACGUACAAAUUGCUCAAUGUCACCACAGCUGGGUUUACACCUCGAGAGGCCCCAAGCCCUGACAACACCAUAGGACCCCCCCAAAAAUGGGAUUCUAAGUGAAAACAAGGUUAAACCACAAAGUAAGUAUAAGUCCAACCCAUUUCUGAUUUUUCCCAUGAUGACUACAUUGAUGAUUUUAUUGUCAAAAAUGUCCCCAUCUCUCUCUCUUUUCUUGGGGGAAGGGAGCGGGGUUGGGAGCACAUUCCCAGCGUUGCUGAAGCCUCAAUUGGUGUCGUCUGUCUGCUGAGUCAUCCCUCACUGGGCAGGGCUCCAGUUUCGAGCCAGAAGGCGUUUUGAACCCCUGCUGUUGAUGACCUUCUCCUACUCCCUAGCCAACCUCCGUUCCAGCUUCUGCCCAUGACGCUCCUCUCUGCCUCUCCCGCUCUCCUCCUUCCUGCCAAAUGUCAGCUGCUCUUUGAGACACACAGCACAUCUUUAAGUGGAUUCACAGCUGUCCGUGAAGACAGGAAAAGCCAUUCAACAUUCAAUCAAUUCUAUAAAACAUUUAUGGACCUCUGUGCCUCCUGGAAAUCAUCGCAGACAUUUAAUGAGAGGCAGUCCUGUGAGGCUCGGAGCACGGCUGCUGGACUCCGAACACAGGGGUGAAUUCCAGCUCCGCCACCUAUAAACUGGGUGAUACUGGCAAGAAGGGACCGAAGCUCUUUGGGUCUCACCUGCUUCCUCACUUGUAAAAUGGGGACUUUUUACAAAAGUAAAAGUAAUGGGACCGUCCUCAUUCGGAUGGGAGGAUGGAAUGUCAAGUGCUGAGAACAGCGCCUGGCGCAGAGGAAGCACGAUCUAAGAGUGGCCAUCGUUACAGAAAUAUUAGCUACUGUAGGAUCUAUGAUCUGGUUCCUGAGGAAAUGAUGCAGCGUUUUCAUGAAAGGUUAGGAGUUUUAAGCACACCAGGUUAUGAUUUACCUGGAAAUCUUUUAACUAAUAGAACAGCUAAGAUUUGAUUAGAUAUUCACAAAAUUCCUUCCCAAACAUGUCGGCAAAAAACUGCUGGCGGACAGCAAUCUGGAACGCACAGCCUCGUCUGCGCUGGACACGGAAGAAAAAUUGGGCUCAGAGGAGGAAACGGACUAAAAGGAACUGCAAGGCAUUCCCUACAGGCUGGGCGAGCCGACAGCAGGGAAGACCAAGCAGCCGUCAAGACACAGGCAGGGAAGAAAGAUGCCACUGGUGUUUAUGGAGAAACAGCAAACUGUACAUGGGCUGUUUUCUCACUGUUCAGCUGAUGUAGAUGGAUGUAAACCAUGUGUCACACGACUGACCACUAUUAAUCUUUCAGCGGCCUUUCCAGGGGAAGUCCUACCAGAUUCAGAAAGGUCAAGGAACUUGCCCAAGGUCACACAGCAACAAAUUCCAAGUAUUCUCAUGAAGCCAGGAAGUGGAGACUGUAAAAGGCCAGUACACUAGAAUACACUGAGUGUUAAGUGAGUGGUGUAGGAAAGGCCCAUCGUCUGGGGUAGUUCCAAUGUGAUUACGAUGCCAUGAUGAUAAUCGCCAUAAGAAUGGCUAAUAUUUAGAGAGUACUUGUGCCAGAUGGCACUCCAAGCAUUGUACUUAUGUGAAUUCAUUUAAUCCUCACAGCAAGCCAAUGGGUUGACACUGUUAUUAUUAUUCCCAUUUUAUGGGUGAAGAAACUGAGGCCCAAAGAGGUGAAGCAACUUGUUCAAGUCAAACAGCUGGAGACAGAUAACACCAGAUGUUUAUUCUUGAGAACACGCUUUAGGCUCACGUAGAAAACCUCCUCCGUAGAACUAACUUUUCCUACAAGGGGCGAUAGGUUGACGCGGUCCCCGACAGAUAUGUCCACGUCCGAAUUCCUAGAUCGUGUGAAUGACAUCUCAUUUGGACGAAGGGUCUUUGCCGAUGGGACGAAGGGUCUUGAGAUGAGAAGAUCAUCCUGGACUCCCAGGGUGGGCCCGAAAUCCAAUGACAAGUGUCUUUAUACGAGAGACAGAAGAUGAGGUGGCAACGUGAAGACAGAGUGGAGAGAUGUGGCCCCACGUCGAAGCAGCCAGCAACCACGAGAAGCUGGACGAGGCAAAGAGCGCAUUCGCCCCUCGAGCCUGCAGACACCUGGAUGGCAUACUUCUGGCGUCCAGAACGGCAAGAGGAUGCAGUGCUGUUGUUCUAAGCCCAUCUGGUUUGCAGUAAUUCGUUAUGGCAGCCCCAGGAAAGUCAUGGGGAAGGUAUGGCCUGUAUCAGGGGUUCAGGCUAAUCUUCAGGCCUGGAUGUCUGGGUGGAAGCAGUGGGAGGACGGAGUGCCAUGUUAGUGGCACGGGAAACCUGGGGGAAGGUCCCCAUCUGGGGGCAGGUGGACUCGCAGUCAACAUAAUGAGGCAGUUUUCCAGCCAGGAGAGCUGCCUAGCUGUGUGUGCACUCCUCGUCAUGUACUGAGCUGCCCAUCACAGGGAGUAAUCUUGCCCCAUUGGGAAGCCAACCACACUCGCAUGUUCUACUACGGAAGGAGGCCAGGGCCAGGCAGGCGGCCAGCUCUCAGAAACUCUCGCUCACAGAAUCAAUGAACACAAGUCACGGGAUGGCUCAGAAAGCGGUUUUCCUUUAAAGGUUUUCAUUCAUUGGAGUAUUUCGGCAGAGUUUUCCAGGAAGCAGAAAGCAACAAUCUUUCUUGUCCGUUUCUGGAGCUGUCUGCUCCUUCCCACCCUCUCUGCAUGGACAUCUGCAGUAAGACAGCUGGACAGCUGGGACCCUGAGCGAGUCACACGUCACUCAUACGAGCUGUUAUUCCGUGUGCCAGAGCCGACCUUGAAGACCAUUCCACGGCCCCCGGGGAGCCUGUAGACACCAAGCACAUCCCUCGCUCACCAUGCUUCUAGAAACAACCUCCCUUGUACUGCCCUGGCCUGCGCAGGUAUUUUCACAGUCAGGAAUCAAAACCCUGGGCUACCUAAAUAUAUCAAAACAUCUAAAGUCGGAGCAGAACCUUUAGCAUUCUCUCCUCCAGGGUUGAUAAUUAAAAUAGUUUCUAACCAGUAAGACGUGGUCACUGACCAGUCAGAAGAAAUGCUGGUGGCGACCCCAGGUGCAGAGAGGAAAUCUCUGGGUCCCGGCCCAGUGUGCCAGCUUCCCACUGCCACACACCUGUGAGGAACACCGGGGCUUCCACUGCGCUGUCGAUAGACUCUCCUCACCUUAUGCAAUAUGGAAAAAGAGGGCGAGGGGUGAGAGAAAGAAGAGAAAAAAAGCAAGUCCGGUGAAAUGUCUAAAACUUGAACGUGAGAUAAAGAGAGCUCUUCCAUAAGUCAAGGGAUCUUUUGUACACAAAGUAUCACCUGCAUGGGACACUGGCCUCUUCUACAUCAUCAUUGUUCUCUGGAAUUGAACAAGAUAGUUCUGGCUCUUAAUUUGCUGCCAGACCCUUCGGGGAAGCAGACAAGCAAAUCACUGACUACAGUCCAGUCUAAGAAGUGUUUCUGUGAUGAAAAUAAUAAUACUAGUUAUAGUAAUGAUACGUGGCAGACAUGCUAAGCACCUCAUAUGGACCAUCUUACUGAAUAUUCACGACAACCCUAUGAAAUAGAGGCUCAUAUCGGCCUCCUUCUGCAAAUGAGGAAACUGAGGCACAGCAAAGGCAAACCACUUGCAGACUCAAGAUUUCCAUCAAGCCGCCUGGCUCUUACCCCCCGCCCCCUGCAUCCCUUGGUUUGGCUCAUGGGAGCACAAAACCGCAGUGUCCAAUCAGAGUAGAGAUCACGAGAGGCUUCCUGGAGGAGGGGAUGGAUGCAGGCCAGCAGACCAGAUGUAAGCUAAGGGGAAAGAUCCUCUGCCCUCACCCGGUGUUAAGGAGAAAGAUGAAACUGGCCAUUCACCACUGUUUCGAUUCAAGCCUUCCAAGCCAGUGAUUAUCUUGUCCUCUCCAUACACGGUCUCAGGGCUCUCUCAUCCGCCAUCGCCUUCAGAAGGCAGGGCAGGAAAACCAGCCUGGUUUUGGGGUAAUCCAACAUGGGAAGUCAAAGUAACUGAAAAGGCUGAGGGAGAAACACUAAGCUGGGAGUGUGUGUAUGUGUGUGUGUGUGUACGUGUGUGUGGUGUACGUGUGUGCGAGAUCCAUGAAGGAGGCCGAGUUGCGGAGCCAGGGGAGAGGGAAGCAGUCCAUGGAGAGACUGGAAGGGAAAAGGGAGGAGGGAGGAAUGACCGCUCUGGCCUAGGGCGACGGCAGGGCAGACACUGCUUGUAGAUCCUGAGCCUUGGUUCUGGGCACUGUCUCUGCCGCAGGCCCCUCGAGAGGGUCUCCCUUAGCAGCCCAAAGACAGAGGGGAGUCAGCAGGCCAAGGGGGCCUUCUUUGGGCUGUUGCGGCCGGAGUGCACCUGGCCAGGGGACACCCACCUCCUUUGUCUCCCUGUUAGGUCAGUAAGACCUCAGCAAGCUGAGUGCAAAGGACAGCUGCUUCCAACUUCUUUGCAAGCUUCCACCACUGUCCAGCUAUUGGCUCAUUUGGGUUUUAGGAAAGGAAGGAGAGCGAGAGAAACUCAGAUUUAUCAAGUGCCUCUUGCUGCGAGAGGAUGCUUGUGUGUGUGUGCGUGUGUGUGUGUGUAUGUACGUAUGUAUUCUCUCUCUCUCUCUCAGCUAACAUUGGUUGCAUUGAGCACUCUCUACGUGCCAGGCAUGAGCACUUUAUAUGCAUUAACUCAUUUUGUCCUCUCAUGACCUUUUGAGGACUCCCUGUCAUCCCUAACUUAAAGAUAAGUUAACUCAGAACAAAGAAGCUAAGAUCACAGAAUGAGAAGUGGCAGAGGGGGGAUUUGAACCCAGGUCGUCUGAUUUCCAGAGCAAUAAAGUAGGAGCUGUUAUCACAACCAUUUUACAGACAAAACAUAGAGUUCCAGAGAAGCUGAGAGCUGCGCCCAGGGUCAUACAGCUAGUUGGCAGAGCAUGGCUUGACCUCAGGGUCAGCCUGGAUGCAAGGCCCACGCUCUCUGACCUCUACUCUGCUGCUCCAGGUGUUAGAAACACUCACAGGCCAGCACUGGAAGGGAAAGCAGUCUGCAAACAGAAGUCUGGCCUGGAACGAGAAGGUGCCCAAUUAAUGUUUACAGAGAAGGAACAAAACCUUCGCAGAUGCGCCCAGGUCUGGGGGCUGCAUUCAGAACCCAGCCUCAGGGGCAGCGGAAGGACUCAGAAGCAUCCUUUUCAGAGAAAAAAAAAAUAAUCAUUUGCACCAUAUCUGAAAGCUGGAGGGGGAAUGGAUUCAAAACAAGCAAAGCUCUCCAAAUAGCGAUAAAUACCUUAAAUUACCCAGCAAGUUUAAAAGCCUUCAUGCUGCUCUUUUUCCCAGCACAGAAACAGGCUCCUGAUUGUGGCUGUUGAGAAUGGAACAUUCAGGAGGGCGUGGAGCCAGAGGGACAGGAGAAGGGGAGGGAGGGACGGGGGGAGGAAGAAGGCUGCGGGUGCCCAGGCCCCCUCGGCCCAGCUGGCUGGCAAGAGACAGAGCGGGCAAUUGUGAGGCUCGCGCUUGCAGAGGGGUGCACGGGUCCAAGGCGGCUGGACCUGGGAACCUCCUUAGUUCCUGGGGGCAAUUUUCCUUGCCAUAGAAAUGGGGAGAGGGAAAAGUCAGGGCUACAAUGGCUGCCUGAGGACACCCUCAUUUCAGGAACCUAGCAUUGCCUGGGGCUUCUCUAUGCUCUUAUAGGAAACAACUGUAUUGACUCCAAAGAGAACAGUUCAUGGAAGGCUGUAAAUUCGCAGAAGCCAGUUCCCUCCGAAAAGCAAGGGUCUGGGCUGAGUUCUCCCUCUUCCCCCAUGAGCCCCACCCCUAGGGGGCUGCUGCCAUCAGACUGGUAUGAGUUAGUGCCAUUUGCGGAGCCUGCAUUCAGGGCCCACUUGUGCGGCCAGCUGCAGCUCCUGGACCAGGCAAUCGCGGUCGUUCAGCGGGGCUGACUCCCCGGCAGGUCACUAUGGCGCGUCCUGUGCUGUCUCAUGGUGAGGAGCCCGGUGUCUGGGGGAGCGGUUCUGAACACCUGUGACCUUAGAGAAGUUACAUAAACGCCUUGUGUCUUUGUUUUCACAUAGGCAAAAUGCGGAUAAUGAUAGAUAACCUACUACCUAGGGUUGUUACGAAGAUUAAAUUAGUUAAGAGACAUAAAGUUCUUACCGCUUACUGGGGGCUUACUCUGUACCAGGCACUUCCUAAGACUUGACAGGUAUUAUCUCAGUUAAUCUCUAUAUGAGCUAAGGGGGGGUGCUAACGUUGCCCUCAUUUUCUUGUUGAGUAAACUGACUUCCAGGGAAAUUCAGUCAUUGGCUCAAGGUCAAUGAUGAAUGGUUGCGGGGGGGGGGGGGGAGGUGGGGAUGCCGGGCUUGGGACUCAAGUAUUCUGACUCCAGCUCCUAUGGGUUGGUUGUCCCGGCUACACAGCCUCCCAAAGAGAAGACCCCGUGAAUCCAGUUCCUUUAGAAUCAGUAGUUUCAACCCUGAUUGAGCACGCAAAUCACCUCAAGCGAUUUUAAAAAAUACGAGCUCCUGGGCCCCCACCUUCAGAGAUCCUGACUCGUAGGUCAGGGCAUCUCAGGCGUUUGAAAAGCCCUUCAGGGGAUGUGGAUAUGCUCCCACAAUAACCAGGAUCCCCUGAGCCAGGGGCGGCGCUGGGACGCUGACGUGCCUCAUUCAAUUCUCAGGGCCUUUUAAAGCAGGACCAUGACUGCCCCUGCUUCACAGAUGAGGAAACUGAGGCCCAGAGCAGUUUGUGAUGCCCAUAAAUGAGUAGGAAGCAGAGCCUGGGUCGACGCUGGAGCUCCAACACCCUGCUUUGGAUGGAAACAGGGAUGAAGAGGUCAGGGCCGCGGGGCCCACACCACUCUGUCUUCCACUGGGUUCCUUCCAAAAGAAGAGCGAAAUUCUGCCUCUGGUAGAGAGGCAAGGGAAGGCCUGGCAUGAAACUCCAAGGGUUGAGAGCAUGUGUGUUCAUUACUGCACGACAUUUAUCUGGAGGCAGACCAGUGUUCUAGCAAGCCCCACGGAAAACACAGCCUUGGCGUGCGAUCUAUGAGCUGGAGGACCCUUGCGAGGUAAAGCCCCAAGUCACGGGUGCAUGACUUUCACAUCUUAUUACAAAAAUAGUGGUCGGGGCGGGAACACCUGCAGGCCUCCGUGGCACGAAGAUGCUGUCACCGUCUCAGGAGGGAGGCUGGAAGAGCUCGAAUGUUUACGGUCAAUAGUUUAGGCCAAACGACCGUUAAGAACUAGAGACUCUGCUGGACCAAACUCCCCGAACUGAAUGAUCCUUGUGAACGAGUCAGGGCCACUUUCCUCUCAAAAUAUAGUCACAUCAUGUAACACGAGUUCAAUCAAUGAAAACGGCCACGUUCAUUUAGAAACUGUCAGGUCAAAGGCAUGUUUCAUGCAACCAGCACUUUGAAGGCAUCUCCUCUUUGCUGGGCCCCAUGCCAGCCGCUGGCAGAAGGAAUAUGACCAAGAGAGUGCUCGCCAGCUACCCUCGGCACGGUUUUGGAGAACAGGAUGGGGCAACAGUGGUCGUUCUGGCUCUGUCCAGACCCCACCACACAGAGGGCUGGAGAAUGUGGACACGGGGGUUAUCUGACGUCGCCCUGCCUCUCUGAGGAGGGUCCCUGACCCCAGCCUACUAUAAUGCACUGGGCUCCUCUCUCUGCCGCUCCUUCUCUCUUUUCCCUUUCCUCCUCCCUUUCCUUCUUCGUCUAAUCAAGAAACAUUUGUUGGCAACCCAUUGUAUUUCACAGCAAAAUCUGUAUUUCAGGCAUGUUGAGCCUUGAAUACUGAAUCUGAAUACCAAUGGAGCAGGACGCCCAUAUUAUUCCAUUCCAUCUUAUUUGUCCAUAAUCACACCCUCUUGGAUUCAACAUGCAGAUCGAUGCAAAUGAGUUCCAAAAAUGCAGAGUCCGAAGAACAACAGAAGGCAAUGGGAUAGUCUUAUCUUAAUAAAAUGUCCCCUCAGCAUGGCAGAAUUCAAGGCAGAGGGGCCUGCGAAGAUCGGCUUGUGCUUCACAAUAACCCCGGAUCUUCUGUAUUGCAGUUUGGAAAAAACACCCCCAAAUUUCCUUUAUUAAAUUUCUCUGUUCUUGCCUCCA
Non-coding RNA from Equus caballus (horse), 8864 nucleotides. Lineage: Eukaryota; Metazoa; Chordata; Mammalia; Perissodactyla; Equidae. The record is from RefSeq and is a predicted model, not a curated record.